AUCUCACCCUCCUUGCAGCAGUUUAGAUUGAGUUGCUAGACAAUUCUUGUCAACUAAUACCAGGACAGUGGGUCUUGCCUUGUGUCUACGUUGUUAUCAAUUGUCCAUAGCUACUUCAGCCACAUUUCCAGGAUGAGUGAAACAACCAGGCUGUGGACGGAUCUUGGAAAUUUUAGCCAUCUUGGACUUUGGAUAUCCAGCUUGGGUUUGAAAAUUAGCAGUAAGAGGGGACUUGGAUGGGCUUUUGGCAUGGAAGGCUUCUGGGAGAUAAAGCUAGGGAAUCUGUGCAUCCCUAACCACCCACAACAAGUUCUCAGCCAUCCUGCAGCCCCUUAGCACCGAGGCUGUGUGGGAGCUUGUCCUGUCCUGGAGGGGAUGGGCUGGAGACUGGCGACACUGCCAACCACAGACGACCAACAUCAUGCCUCGAGAAACAAGAAGCCGCAACUGAUGACAUCCAGGCAGCUAAUGGUGAGGAGCAAAGGACUCGCAAAGGACUCUGGGACCAAUUGGAAGUGGCCAUGCAGAUCAACAGCCCGUGACGGGCCAGAAGGCUUCUAGGACAUUCUAUGAGAGACUAUAUAUGUGUGUCAUUUAUUAGUGUACUUACAAUUCCUGUCUCACAACCUUUCUAAUUAAUAAACACCCAAAGAACAUAUUUUACAGAGACUUAAAAAAAGAAAGGGUUUGAGGACUAUGAAUACGUUUUUUAUUAAUUGCAAUUUGUAUUUGAAAGGGGAUAGUUUUUUUCCUUAUGAGCAGCGGCAAAUUAGGUGUGAAAAAUACAGAAAGGUUCAUGAAAAGGGAGAGUAAAUAGCACAACAAAUGUGUUCAUGUGGUUGAAGCACUCGAUUGGAAGUCAAAGGGUCAGAUUUUGAUCUCAGCUCUG
This is a long non-coding RNA of Motacilla alba alba, 889 nucleotides long. RefSeq lists it as uncharacterized. The record is from RefSeq and is a predicted model, not a curated record. Lineage: Eukaryota; Metazoa; Chordata; Aves; Passeriformes; Motacillidae. The transcript has 3 exons.